RNAcentral lists this ribosomal RNA (253 nucleotides) under uncultured bacterium. RNAcentral's name for it is "partial 16S ribosomal RNA". It matches the Rfam family "Bacterial small subunit ribosomal RNA", at positions 524 to 776 of the family's 1533-position model. The record is from RNAcentral.
UACGUAGGGUGCGAGCGUUAAUCGGAAUUACUGGGCGUAAAGCGUGCGCAGGCGGCGCCGCAAGUCAGGCGUGAAAUCCCCGAGCUUAACUUGGGAAUGGCGCUUGAAACUACGGUGCUGGAGUGUGGCAGAGGGAGGUGGAAUUCCACGUGUAGCGGUGAAAUGCGUAGAGAUGUGGAGGAACACCGAUGGCGAAGGCAGCCUCCUGGGCCAACACUGACGCUCAUGCACGAAAGCCUGGGGAGCAAACAGG